This is a long non-coding RNA of Oreochromis aureus, 1465 nucleotides long. RefSeq lists it as uncharacterized. NCBI's taxonomy places the organism in Eukaryota, Metazoa, Chordata, Actinopteri, Cichliformes, Cichlidae. The record is from RefSeq and is a predicted model, not a curated record. The transcript has 4 exons.
UCACGAGAAGCAAAAUGGCGUUUGAAGUGUAACAACUUGCAUGUUUAUCUUUGGUGUGCACAGAGCUGGAGAAUCCUGAUGACAACAUUAAUUAUAAAGCCAUAGUUGGUUAACUUGACAUUGCUUAAUUGUAAAGAUGCAUGAAAAAGUUCGUCCUAGGAGCGUAAAGUUAGGAUGAACUGCUGAGCAUAGGUUGCUGUGUGAGAGCAGAAUCUGUGAUCAGUCUUACCGAGAAACCCAACAUUUGGAGACUUUAAAGCAUUUCUGACAGAAAAUUGAGCCGUCUUUAUAAUGAUGAAACGGAUGAAGGUGAUUAAAUGGUACUCACCAUUCCUGAGGGUCAGACUAAUGGUCAGCAGGCGUCAUUCACAGUUUUCAAGGUGCUGUACAAAAAACUUACUUUGACUCAAACUAUCCUAUACUGAAGAAACAAGACUGUUUUUUCUGGAUUGUCUCGAAUAAUCAUGAAGGAAUCUACUCAAUCUUUAACACACCAAACUGUCCAUCAAGCCAGACUGCUGGAGGGGACCUUUGCCUCGACGGCCACAGAAACCACCCAAAGUGGAGCUUCAAAAUGUGCCGAGGGCUUGUGUUUAUUAUGUGAGGGGAGGUUUUCACCCGGAGAACUGUACAGGAUGUUUUUCUGGUCCCGACAGGGUAAACAGCAGCAGCUGCGCACUUCCAGCUGGGGAGGCAUGUAUUUAAGUGUGCGCAUGUGUGCAGGAGCGCGCGUGUGUAUUAGCAAUCUCGGCUAGUCUCUAAGUGGGCUGCGUGCAUAAAAGUGUGUAUCCCUUUUGUGUGUGGGUGUGGGUGGGUGUGUGUUCAGUGGGUGUGGAGCUGACGGAGCAGGCCACACUGAAAGCUCAACCCAGGUAAUUAUAUAGCGUCGUCCAUUCACAAAAAGAGGAAGAAAAAAAAAAUCUGGCUCUAGUGAAUGAAGCCCAAAAUGACUGUCCCAGUAAAGCAGGAGGUAGAAAGUGAAACAAAAUGGAGAGAAACUGACACAACAUUACAGUGACAUAAACCACAAACUGCCUCAGGGAUCUGCUGUUAAGAUGGAAGUUAGGGUGCUCAAAUUUGGAAGUACUACUUCUUAAAAAAGAAAUAAAAUGGCAACAUUAAAAUACUUUUCAUUAAAUGGUUUUACACUCUGUCAACAUAUAUAUAUCAUCACAUGAAAAGAGUUUUUUUGCAAGACUCUGUUCAGAAACUUUGUCAGUUUGCUGGUCUGAAGAUUUCAGGUGUGCGCUAACACAGUUCCACCCUAUAGUCAUACCAUUCAAUGCUCAAACUGCCAAAAAAAGUCAAGAGCUACAUCUCAGAUCAUCAUGAGAGUAUAUUUAGAAAAAGACAGUAUUCGGAAGGGUUGCCAGGCGAAGACCUCUUGGCAGUAGAGCUCAAGUUUGCAAAGUUACAACUGAACAAACCAUGACACUUCUGGAACAAUGUCCUUUGGACAGACAAG